RNAcentral lists this ribosomal RNA (303 nucleotides) under uncultured bacterium. RNAcentral describes it as "bacterial SSU rRNA". It matches the Rfam family "Bacterial small subunit ribosomal RNA", at positions 8 to 290 of the family's 1533-position model. The record is from RNAcentral.
AGAGUUUGAUCAUGGCUCAGGACGAACGCUGGCGGCGCGCCUAACACAUGCAAGUCGAACGGAGUUAUGUUGGUUGAAGUUUUCGGAUGGAUACCGACAUAACUUAGUGGCGAACGGGUGAGUAACGCGUGAGUAACCUGCCCUGGAGUGGGGGACAACAGUUGGAAACGACUGCUAAUACCGCAUAAGCCCACGAUCCGGCAUCGGAUUGAGGGAAAAGGAUUUAUUCGCUUCAGGAUGGACUCGCGUCCAAUUAGCUAGUUGGUGAGGUAACGGCCCACCAAGGCGACGAUUGGUAGCCGG